AGUAUGUUAUAUAUAUAUCGGUUUUCCCCAGUCUGCUUUUUUUGCUUUUUUGUUUUGUUUACUUAUUCUAGUUAGAGAGAAGAAAAAAA
Molecule: non-coding RNA, 89 nt
Filed under: Licmophora paradoxa
Lineage: Eukaryota; Bacillariophyta; Fragilariophyceae; Licmophorales; Licmophoraceae
Source: RNAcentral